This 1628-nucleotide ribosomal RNA is filed under the name seawater metagenome. RNAcentral's name for it is "bacterial LSU rRNA". It matches the Rfam family "Bacterial large subunit ribosomal RNA", at positions 918 to 2531 of the family's 2925-position model. The record is from RNAcentral.
GCUAGGGGGUCAUCCCGACUUACCAACCCUUUGCAAACUCCGAAUACCAAUGAGUGAUAUGCGGGAGACACACUACGGGUGCUAACGUCCGUUGUGAAGAGGGAAACAACCCAGACCGCCAGCUAAGGUCCCAAAGUACUAGUUAAGUGGGAAACGAUGUGGAAAGGCAUAGACAGCUAGGAGGUUGGCUUAGAAGCAGCCAUCCUUUAAAGAAAGCGUAAUAGCUCACUAGUCGAGUCGGUCUGCGCGGAAGAUGUAACGGGGCUAAACUAGUCACCGAAGCUGCGGAUUUGAACUUAGGUUCAAGUGGUAGGGGAGCGUUCUGUAAGCCGUUGAAGGUGUGUUGUAAAGCAUGCUGGAGGUAUCAGAAGUGCGAAUGCUGACAUGAGUAACGAUAAGGGGAGUGAAAAACUCCCCCGCCGAAAGACCAAGGUUUCCUGUCCCAUGUUAAUCAGGGCAGGGUAAGUCGGCCCCUAAGGCGAGGCGGAAACGCGUAGUCGAUGGGAAACAGAUUAAUAUUUCUGUACUUCUAUAUAUUGCGAAGGAGGGACGGAGUAGGCUAGGUGAGCACGGCGUUGGUAGUCCGUGUGAAAGUACGUAGGUGGUUAACUUAGGUAAAUCCGGGUUUUCAUUCAACACUGAGAUACGAGACGAGACUCUACGGAGUUGAAGUCAUUGAUGCCAUGCUUCCAGGAAAAGCUUCUAAGCUUCAGAUAUAUAGGAACCGUACCCCAAACCGACACAGGUGGUUAGGUAGAGAAUACUAAGGCGCUUGAGAGAACUCGGGUGAAGGAACUAGGCAAAAUAGUACCGUAACUUCGGGAGAAGGUACGCUACUCAUGGUGAUGGAACUUGCUUCCUAAGCUAAGAGUAGUCGAAGUAACCAGGUGGCUGGAACUGUUUAUUAAAAACACAGCACUGUGCAAAAUCGAAAGAUGACGUAUACGGUGUGACGCCUGCCCGGUGCCGGAAGGUUAAUUGAUUGGGUUAGCUCUGCGAAGCUCAUGAUCGAAGCCCCGGUAAACGGCGGCCGUAACUAUAACGGUCCUAAGGUAGCGAAAUUCCUUGUCGGGUAAGUUCCGACCUGCACGAAUGGCGUAAUCAUGGCCACACUGUCUCCACCCGAGACUCAGUGAAAUUGAAAUUGCGGUUAAGAUGCCGUAUACCCGCGGCUAGACGGAAAGACCCCGUGAACCUUUACUAUAGCUUGACAGUGAACAUUGCUCCUACAUGUGUAGGAUAGGUGGGAGGCUUUGAAACCGCGUCGCUAGAUGCGGUGGAGCCAACCUUGAAAUACCACCCUUGUAUGCGUGAUGUUCUAACCUAGGGCCCUUAUCGGGCUUGGGGACACUGUCUGGUGGGUAGUUUGACUGGGGCGGUCUCCUCCCAAAGAGUAACGGAGGAGCACGAAGGUUGGCUAAGUACGGUCGGACAUCGUACGGUUAGUGCAAUGGCAUAAGCCAGCUUAACUGCGAGACAGACACGUCGAGCAGGUACGAAAGUAGGUCAUAGUGAUCCGGUGGUUCUGUAUGGAAGGGCCAUCGCUCAACGGAUAAAAGGUACUCCGGGGAUAACAGGCUGAUACCGCCCAAGAGUUCAUAUCGACGGCGGUGUUUGGCACCUCGAUG